AUGGCCCACGCUAAUGUCAACCUCAACUUCAACGCGUUCCUAGAGAAAACCAAGCUGAAAGAUGAUGGCAGCAACUAUACGGACUGGGUCCGGAACCUGAGGAUCAUCCUCAUAGCUGCCAAGAAAGCAUAUGUCCUAGAAGCACCACUAGGUGAAGCUCCCAUCCCAGAGAACCAAGACGUUAUGAACGCUUGGCAGUCUCAUGCUGAUGAUUACUCCCUCGUUCAGUGCGGCAUGCUUUACAGCUUAGAACCGGGGCUCCAAAAGCGUUUUGAGAAGCACGGAGCAUAUGAGAUGUUCGAAGAGCUGAAAUUGAUUUUCCAAGCUCAUGCCCGGGUCGAGAGAUAUGAAGUCUCUGACAAGUUCUACAGUUGUAAGAUGGAGGAAAAUAGUUCUGUCAGUGAGCACAUACUCAAGAUGUCUGGGUUACACAACCGCUUGUCCCAGCUGGACAUUAACCUCCCGGACGAGGCGGUCAUUGACAGAAUCCUUCAGUCGCUCCCACCUAGCUACAAGAGCUUUGUGAUGAACUACAAUAUGCAGAGGAUGGAAAAGACCAUUCCUGAGGUAUAUUCAAUGCUGAAAUCAGCAGAGGUAGAAAUCAAAAAGGAACAUCAAGUGUUGAUGGUGAAUAAAACCACUAAGUUCAAGAAAGGCAAGGGUAAGAAGAACUUCAAGAAGGACGGCAAGGAAGUUGCCGCGCCCGGUAAACCAGCUACCGGGAAGAAGUCAAAGAAUGGACCCAAGCCUGAGACUGAGUGCUUUUAUUUCAAGGGAAAGGGACACUGGAAGCGGAACUGCCCCAAAUACUUAGCGGACAAGAAGGCCGGCAACACUAAAGGUAUAUGUGAUAUACAUGUAAUUGAUGUGUACCUUACCAGUACUCGUAGUAGUUCCUGGGUAUUUGAUACCGGUGCGGUUGCUCAUAUUUGUAACUCAAAACAGGAGCUGCGGAAUAAACGGAGACUGGCGAAGGACGAGGUGACGAUGCGCGUCGGGAAUGGUUCCAAGGUCGAUGUGAUCGCCGUCGGCACGCAACCUCUACAUUUACCUAUGGGAUUAGUUUUAAACCUUAAUAAUUGUUAUUUAGUGCCAGCUUUGAGCAUGAACAUUGUAUCAGGAUCUUGUUUAAUGCGAGAUGGCUACUCAUUUAAAUCCGAG
Molecule: ribosomal RNA, 1161 nt
Filed under: Triticum aestivum (bread wheat)
Lineage: Eukaryota; Viridiplantae; Streptophyta; Magnoliopsida; Poales; Poaceae
Description: partial small subunit ribosomal RNA
Source: RNAcentral